CCUACGGGCGGCUGCAGUGAGGAAUAUUGGUCAAUGGACGAGAGUCUGAACCAGCCAAGUAGCGUGAAGGAGGACUGUCCUAUGGGUUGUAAACUUCUUUUAUCUGGGAAUAAAACGUUCCACGUGUGGGAUUUUGUAUGUACCAUAUGAAUAAGGAUCGGCUAACUCCGUGCCAGCAGCCGCGGUAAUAAGGAGGAUCCGAGCGUUAUCCGGCUUUCUUGGGGUUAAAGGGAGCGUAGGAGGUUGGUUAAGUCAGUGGUGCAAGUUUGCGGCUCAACCGUAAAACUGCAGUUGAAACUGGCAGUCUUGAGUAGAGGAGAGGUAGGCGGAAGGCGUGGUGUAGCGGUGAAAUGCUUAGAUAGCACGAAGAACUCCGAUUGCGAAGGCAGUUCACUGGACUGCAACUGACACUGAGGCUCGAAAGUGUGGGUAUCAAACAGGAUUAGAUACCCCAGUAGUC
RNAcentral lists this ribosomal RNA (460 nucleotides) under uncultured bacterium. RNAcentral's name for it is "partial 16S ribosomal RNA". It matches the Rfam family "Bacterial small subunit ribosomal RNA", at positions 338 to 795 of the family's 1533-position model. The record is from RNAcentral.